Molecule: ribosomal RNA, 253 nt
Filed under: uncultured bacterium
Lineage: Bacteria
Description: partial 16S ribosomal RNA
Rfam family: Bacterial small subunit ribosomal RNA
Source: RNAcentral
UACGUAGGGGGCUAGCGUUGCUCGGAAUUACUGGGCGUAAAGGGCGCGUAGGCGGGUCGUUAAGUCGGGGGUGAAAGCCCAGGGCUCAACCCUGGAAUUGCCUUCAAUACUGGCGACCUUGAGUAUGGCAGAGGUGUGUGGAACUCCGAGUGUAGAGGUGAAAUUCGUAGAUAUUCGGAAGAACACCAGUGGCGAAGGCGACACACUGGGCCAUUACUGACGCUGAGGCGCGAAAGCGUGGGGAGCAAACAGG